Pelobates cultripes (western spadefoot toad) is the source of this 675-nucleotide non-coding RNA. The record is from the annotation of a GenBank genome assembly. NCBI's taxonomy places the organism in Eukaryota, Metazoa, Chordata, Amphibia, Anura, Pelobatidae.
CCAGAAAAGACUGCUUUUCAGAAUGAGGGGGGAUGCAGUCUGCAAGCAGAUGUCAUUUCAGGAGCCAAAGCCUAUAAGAUGUGGAAUUUGGGUGAAUGCUGGCCACGUAGGAUCAUACGUCACCUAUAAAACCACUUCUCGGUCCCCACAGCUCCGGCUACUCAAAUCUUUGCAAAGUCUGUCUCUUUACAUUGGAUCCAUAGAGUGAUACCAAACACAGACAAUUAAUUCAAGGCACAGGACAUAGGUACAAACUGCACUAUUGCAGGACCAGCGAUGGAGGCUCAAGGAUUACAGACUUCAGGGAGCGCCCUUGGUGACCCCAAAUUUAUCUAGAUGUAUGUAACAUUUCAUUCUGACAUCUUCUGCAAUUCAAGUUAAAAUCUUCAUUAAGGAAUCAAGCAAUUGACUCACUGAAAUAUCUAAUGGAAAAUCUAUUUUCUUAAAAUCUUGAUUGGGGACUUUCAGACUGCAGGAGUCCAUCUAACACGUUACAAGGUCAUGUGUGUACUGGGAUCCCGGGCUGGACUGAUAGGACUUCCUGCAAUCACUGGGAUAUGUGUAUCAGAACUAUUUGUAACACUGGGAUUUGAACGUUCUAUUAAAACACAUAAUUCUGUAUUUCUGUUUAUUGUUGGGUUCUGUGUGCCUGCUCCUUCUAGAUGUAUUUUAAAA